GUAGGGAAUAUUGCGCAAUGGAGGCAACUCUGACGCAGCCAUGCCGCGUGCAGGAAGAAGGCGCUACGCGUUGUAAACUGCUUUUAACCGGGAAGAAACCCCAGGACGUGUCCUGGGUUGACGGUACCGGAGGAAUAAGCACCGGCUAACUUCGUGCCAGCAGCCGCGGUAAUACGAAGGGUGCAAGCGUUAUCCGGAUUCAUUGGGUUUAAAGGGUGCGUAGGCGGAGCGUUAAGUCAGUGGUGAAAUCCUGCAGCUUAACUGUAGACUUGCCAUUGAUACUGGCGCGCUUGAGUGCGCUUGAAGUGGGCGGAAUGUGCCGUGUAGCGGUGAAAUGCUUAGAUAUGGCACAGAACACCAAUUGCGAAGGCAGCUCACUAAGGCGAUACUGACGCUGAGGCACGAAAGCGUGGGGAUCGAACAGGAUUAGAUACCCCAGUAGUCC
RNAcentral lists this ribosomal RNA (445 nucleotides) under uncultured bacterium. RNAcentral describes it as "partial 16S ribosomal RNA". It matches the Rfam family "Bacterial small subunit ribosomal RNA", at positions 354 to 796 of the family's 1533-position model. The record is from RNAcentral.